AACGAACGCUGGCGGCAUGCCUAACACAUGCAAGUCGAACGAGACCUUCGGGUCUAGUGGCGCACGGGUGCGUAACGCGUGGGAACCUGCCCUUAGGUUCGGAAUAACUCCCCGAAAGGGGUGCUAAUACCGGAUAAUGUCUUCGGACCAAAGAUUUAUCGCUUUGGAUGGGCCCGCGUUGGAUUAGCUAGUUGGUAGGGUAAAAGCCUACCAAGGCGACGAUCCAUAGCUGGUCUGAGAGGAUGAUCAGCCACACUGGGACUGAGACACGGCCCAGACUCCUACGGGAGGCAGCAGUGGGGAAUAUUGGACAAUGGGCGAAAGCCUGAUCCAGCAAUGCCGCGUGAGUGAUGAAGGCCUUAGGGUUGUAAAGCUCUUUUACCCGGGAUGAUAAUGACAGUACCGGGAGAAUAAGCUCCGGCUAACUCCGUG
This 432-nucleotide ribosomal RNA is filed under the name uncultured bacterium. RNAcentral describes it as "partial 16S ribosomal RNA". It matches the Rfam family "Bacterial small subunit ribosomal RNA", at positions 29 to 507 of the family's 1533-position model. The record is from RNAcentral.